This 497-nucleotide ribosomal RNA is filed under the name uncultured bacterium. RNAcentral describes it as "partial 16S ribosomal RNA". It matches the Rfam family "Bacterial small subunit ribosomal RNA", at positions 28 to 507 of the family's 1533-position model. The record is from RNAcentral.
GAUGAACGCUGGCGGCGUGCCUAAUACAUGCAAGUCGAGCGAACAGACGAGAAGCUUGCUUCUCUGAUGUUAGCGGCGGACGGGUGAGUAACACGUGGAUAACCUACCUAUAAGACUGGGAUAACUUCGGGAAACCGGAGCUAAUACCGGAUAAUAUUUUGAACCGCAUGGUUCAAAAGUGAAAGACGGUCUUGCUGUCACUUAUAGAUGGAUCCGCGCUGCAUUAGCUAGUUGGUAAGGUAACGGCUUACCAAGGCAACGAUGCAUAGCCGACCUGAGAGGGUGAUCGGCCACACUGGAACUGAGACACGGUCCAGACUCCUACGGGAGGCAGCAGUAGGGAAUCUUCCGCAAUGGGCGAAAGCCUGACGGAGCAACGCCGCGUGAGUGAUGAAGGUCUUCGGAUCGGAAAACUCUGUUAUUAGGGAAGAACAUAUGUGUAAGUAACUGUGCACAUCUUGACGUUACCUAAUCAGAAAGCCACGGCUAACUACGUG